GCCUGGCUGGCUCAGUCGUUGAGCGUCUGACUUUGGCUCAGGUCACGAUCUCGCAGUUUGUGAGUUCGAGCCCCACAUCAGGCU
This 84-nucleotide transfer RNA is filed under the name Felis catus (domestic cat). It matches the Rfam family "tRNA". From Rfam's summary of the family: Transfer RNA (tRNA) molecules are approximately 80 nucleotides in length. Their secondary structure includes four short double-helical elements and three loops (D, anti-codon, and T loops). Lineage: Eukaryota; Metazoa; Chordata; Mammalia; Carnivora; Felidae. The record is from Rfam by way of RNAcentral.